CCGAGUUGACAAACUCCCACCAUUGACAUACCUCAGUUUCGCGGAACGUACCCAGCCGCCGUCCGACCUCCGCCGCGGGGAUCGGGAGCCUAGCCCGACCCAGGCGCCGCCGGAGGUACCAGACUCUUGGUCUUCAGUAUUCUUCUGAGUGCACUGCUAAAAUAAGUCA
Molecule: unclassified non-coding RNA, 169 nt
Filed under: soil metagenome
Description: partial internal transcribed spacer 1
Source: RNAcentral